UGCAUCCUGUGGUCUAGUGGUAUGUCGCCGGCGGCCUGUGCUGAGGGUCGCUGGUUCGAUGCCGACCAGUGCAA
Molecule: non-coding RNA, 74 nt
Organism: Aphelenchus avenae
Lineage: Eukaryota; Metazoa; Nematoda; Chromadorea; Rhabditida; Aphelenchidae
Source: the annotation of a GenBank genome assembly